Molecule: ribosomal RNA, 274 nt
Filed under: uncultured bacterium
Lineage: Bacteria
Description: partial 16S ribosomal RNA
Rfam family: Bacterial small subunit ribosomal RNA
Source: RNAcentral
AUACGGAGGGUCCAAGCGUUGUUCGGAUUUAUUGGGCGUAAAGCGAGUGUAGGCGGUUUGAAAAGUCGGAUGUGAAAUCCCAGGGCCCAACCCUGGAACUGCAUCCGAUACUGUCAGGCUAGAGUCCCUGAGAGGGUGGCGGAAUUCCCGGUGUAGGGGUGAAAUCCGUAGAUAUCGGGAGGAACACCAGUGGCGAAGGCGGCCACCUGGACGGUGACUGACGCUGAGACUCGAAAGCGUGGGUAGCAAACAGUAUUAGAAACCCCAGUAGUCC